AUUGAACGCUGGCGGCAGGCCUAACACAUGCAAGUCGAACGGUAACAGGAAGAAGCUUGCUUCUUUGCUGACGAGUGGGGGACGGGAGUGUAAUGUCUGGGAAACUGCCUGAUGGCUGGGGAUAACUACUGGAAACGGUAGCUAAUACCGCAUAACUUCUCAACACCAAGGUGCAGUACUUUCGGGCCGCUUUCCAUCGGAUUUUCCCAGGUGGGGUUAGCUUGUUGGUGGGGUAACGGCUCACCAAGGCGACGAUCCCUAGCUGGUCUGAGAGGAUGACCAGCCACACUGGAACUGAGACACGGUCCAGACUCCUACGGGAGGCAGCAGUGGGGAAUAUUGCACAAUGGGCGCAAGCCUGAUGCAGCAAUGCCGCGUGUAUGAAGAAGGCCUUCGGGUUGUAAAGUACUUUCAGCGGGGAGGAAGGAAGUAAAGUUAAUACCUUCGCUCCUUGACGUUACCCGAAGAAGAAGCCACGGCUAACUCCGUG
RNAcentral lists this ribosomal RNA (490 nucleotides) under uncultured bacterium. Its description in RNAcentral is "partial 16S ribosomal RNA". It matches the Rfam family "Bacterial small subunit ribosomal RNA", at positions 30 to 507 of the family's 1533-position model. The record is from RNAcentral.